RNAcentral lists this ribosomal RNA (572 nucleotides) under uncultured bacterium. RNAcentral's name for it is "bacterial SSU rRNA". It matches the Rfam family "Bacterial small subunit ribosomal RNA", at positions 338 to 916 of the family's 1533-position model. The record is from RNAcentral.
CCUACGGGAGGCAGCAGUGGGGAAUUUUGCGCAAUGGGGGAAACCCUGACGCAGCGACGCCGCGUGGAGGAAGACGGCCUUCGGGUUGUAAACUCCUGUCAGAGGUGAAGAAUGCCCGCAAGGGCUUGACGGUAACCUCAGAGGAAGCCCCGGCUAACUACGUGCCAGCAGCCGCGGUAAUACGUAGGGGGCGAGCGUUGCUCGGAAUUACUGGGCGUAAAGGGAGUGCAGGCGGCCGGUUAAGUCGAAGAUGAAAUCCCGAGGCUCAACUUCGGAAUGGUCUUCGAUACUGAUCGGCUUGAGGCUGGUUGAGGAGAGCGGAAUUCCCGGUGGAGCGGUGAAAUGCGUAGAUAUCGGGAGGAACACCAGAGGCGAAGGCGGCUCUCUAAACUAGUCCUGACGCUGAGACUCGAAAGCUAGGGGAGCAAACGGGAUUAGAUACCCCGGUAGUCCUAGCCGUAAACGAUGGACACUGGAUGUUCCCGCGUUCAUGCGGGAGUGUCGUAGCUAACGCGUUAAGUGUCCCGCCUGGGGAGUACGGUCGCAAGGCUGAAACUUAAAGGAAUUGACGG